This 378-nucleotide unclassified non-coding RNA is filed under the name plant metagenome. RNAcentral describes it as "partial contains 5.8S ribosomal RNA, internal transcribed spacer 2, and large subunit ribosomal RNA". The stretch from base 1 to 105 matches the Rfam family "5.8S ribosomal RNA", at positions 50 to 154 of the family's 154-position model. The record is from RNAcentral.
GAAAUGCGAUAAGUAAUGUGAAUUGCAGAAUUCAGUGAAUCAUCGAAUCUUUGAACGCACCUUGCGCUCCUUGGUAUUCCUUGGAGCAUGCCUGUUUGAGUAUCAUGAAAUCUUCAAAGUAAAUCUUUUGUUAACUCAAUUGGUUUCUACUUUGGUAUUGGAGGUCUUUGCAGCUUCACACCUGCUCCUCUUUGUUCAUUUGCUGGAUCUCAGUGUUAUGCUUGGUUCCACUCGGCGUGAUAAGUUAUCUAUCGCUGAGGACACUGUAAAAGGUGGCCAAGGUAAAUGCAGAUGAACCGCUUCUAAUAGUCCAUUGACUUGGACAAUACUUUUAUGAUCUGAUCUCAAAUCAGGUAGGACUACCCGCUGAACUUAAGC